AGUAACGAUGGCAAGGAGAGAUGACCUGUCAUUUUGCCGAGAGAUGAAAUUUAGGAAUAAGAUGGUAGAAUACCUGACAGACUGGGUUAUGGGAACAUCAAACCAAGCAGCAGAUGAUGAUGUAAAAUGUCUUACAAGGCAUCAGGUACCUGAAAAAGAAGAGAUCAAGGCUUUGAAAACGUUAAGUAUUUUCUACCAAGCUGGGGCUUCCAAAGCUGGGAAUCCUAUUUUUUAUUAUGCUGCACGGGCGUGAGAAGUGGAAGUUUAAGAGGAUAAGAUCCUGCCUCACAGGCCCAACAGAAUAAAAAGACCAUGAGAAAGGAUAUUUGCAAAACAUCUAAAUGACAAGGUACUGAAGAUCAGAAAAAACAAGGAGCGCCUAUGAGAAGGGACUUCUCCAAGCUCUGUCUGGGUUCUGCUGUCAAUGGUGUUGUCCAGAGUUAUUGAAAUAGUCAUAGAUGGGUGUAUGUGCGGGGGAGAAGAUGGCGGCGGCGGGGGAGGCAGCGUGAGCAGCCGGAGGAGCGCCGAGUCCCAUUGAAACCGGCAGCC
RNAcentral lists this long non-coding RNA (549 nucleotides) under Homo sapiens (human). RNAcentral's name for it is "novel transcript". Lineage: Eukaryota; Metazoa; Chordata; Mammalia; Primates; Hominidae. The record is from RNAcentral.